This 269-nucleotide long non-coding RNA is filed under the name Elaeis guineensis (African oil palm). RNAcentral's name for it is "long non-coding RNA (EGUI_LNC009005)". The record is from RNAcentral. Lineage: Eukaryota; Viridiplantae; Streptophyta; Magnoliopsida; Arecales; Arecaceae.
UGCUAAGCCGCUCGAUCUGUUCGAUCAUGUACAAUACAUGAUCAGUGAUUGAUGCUCCUUCUCGCAUAUGGACAUUGAAGAUAGCACAGGAAGUUUUAUGUAUGUCAAAAGACUCAUUCAACUUUUAAAUGAUCUCCUCAGGCCGUGGAUCUUCAGAUUGACAACUAAGCUCAUCAUUCAUAGCUGCCCUCAUGACACAACGCACCAUUAUGCGGUCAUUGAGCUACUUUGGAUAAGUGUCUCUCACUACACUAUGUGCAUUGACCACA